RNAcentral lists this ribosomal RNA (254 nucleotides) under uncultured bacterium. RNAcentral's name for it is "partial 16S ribosomal RNA". It matches the Rfam family "Bacterial small subunit ribosomal RNA", at positions 524 to 776 of the family's 1533-position model. The record is from RNAcentral.
UACGGAGGGUGCAAGCGUUGUUCGGAUUUACUGGGCGUAAAGCGCGCGCAGGCGGCCUGAAAAGUCUAUGGGUGAAAUGCCGGGGCUCAACCCCGUGUGUGCCCAGGAUACUGUCAGGCUGGAGACACGUAGAGGCAAGCGGAAUUCCGGGUGUAGCGGUGGAAUGCGUAGAGAUCCGGAAGAACACCAAUGGCGAAAGCAGCUCUCUGGGACGGUACUGACGCUGAGACGCGAAAGCGUGGGGAGCGAACAGG